GGAGGAAAGCAGGGGAUCGUAAGACCUUGCGUUAAUGGAGCGGCCGAUAUCUGAUUAGCUAGUUGGUGAGGUAAAGGCUCACCAAGGCGGCGAUCAGUAGCUGGUUUGAGAGAACGACCAGCCACACUGGAACUGAGACACGGUCCAGACUCCUACGGGAGGCAGCAGUGGGGAAUUUUGGACAAUGGGGGCAACCCUGAUCCAGCCAUUCCGCGUGAGUGAAGAAGGCCUUCGGGUUGUAAAGCUCUUUCGCAAGGGAAGAAAACUUAUGAUCGAAUAAAUCAUGAGGUUGACGGUACCUUGAUAAGAAGCACCGGCUAACUACGUGCCAGCAGCCGCGGUAAUACGUAGGGUGCGAGCGUUAAUCGGAAUUACUGGGCGUAAAGCGUGCGCAGGCGGUUUUGUAAGUCGGAUGUGAAAUCCCCGGGCUCAACCUGGGAACUGCGUUUGAAACUACAAGGCUAG
RNAcentral lists this ribosomal RNA (465 nucleotides) under uncultured ammonia-oxidizing beta proteobacterium. Its description in RNAcentral is "bacterial SSU rRNA". It matches the Rfam family "Bacterial small subunit ribosomal RNA", at positions 198 to 644 of the family's 1533-position model. The record is from RNAcentral. Lineage: Bacteria; Pseudomonadati; Pseudomonadota; Betaproteobacteria.